This 431-nucleotide ribosomal RNA is filed under the name uncultured bacterium. RNAcentral describes it as "bacterial SSU rRNA". It matches the Rfam family "Bacterial small subunit ribosomal RNA", at positions 917 to 1349 of the family's 1533-position model. The record is from RNAcentral.
GGGCCCGCACAAGCGGUGGAGUAUGUGGUUUAAUUCGAAGCAACGCGCAGAACCUUACCUUCCCUUGACAUCCCGGGACAAUCUCAGAGAUGAGACUUUCUCUUCGGAGACUCGGUGACAGAUGCUGCAUGGCUGUCGUCAGCUCGUGUUGUGAAAUGUUCGGUUAAGUCCGGCAACGAGCGCAACCCCUGUCCUUAGUUACCAUCAUUAAGUUGGGGACUCUAGGGAGACUGCCGGUGUUAAACCGGAGGAAGGCGGGGAUGACGUCAAGUCCUCAUGGCUCUUACGGGAAGGGCUACACACGUACUACAAUGGUAGAAACAAAGGGUUGCGAAACCGCGAGGUCAAGCUAAUCCCUAAAACACUAUCUCAGUCCGGAUUGGAGUCUGCAACUCGACUCCAUGAAGUUGGAAUCGCUAGUAAUCGGAGAU